Molecule: long non-coding RNA, 237 nt
Filed under: Elaeis guineensis (African oil palm)
Lineage: Eukaryota; Viridiplantae; Streptophyta; Magnoliopsida; Arecales; Arecaceae
Description: long non-coding RNA (EGUI_LNC040941)
Source: RNAcentral
UGGCCAAGAUUUUGCUAAAUUGAAAUACAGCGACUCAUUCUUCUCCAACUCUUGGAGUGAUCAAUCCCAUCUUGAUCACACUCCGACUUCGCAAGUACUUGACUGUGCCCAGAAGCCUUCCGUCACUGAAUUAGAAAUUCAGUUAGUCCAGUACCAAAGCACAGUGAGUUGCUUGCAAGUCACUGAGGCGAUCUCAGAUCUAAGGGACACUUAUUCUAUAUCCCAUCAGAGACAUUC